UUGAGCAGUUGGGCUUUUCUUCAGAAUUUGUCAUUGAUCGCACAUUGGGUGAGGAGGCUUGACGUACUGAUUCUUGAAAGAUAGCGCUUUCAGCUUGAGAAUCUUCAGAGAGAACAAAUCUUCUGGAUCACUUCAACAGGUACAAAGAUAGCAGCAGACUGAUUGAGGAGGCUUCAAUGCAAUCCGUCACAUAAUCUUCAAUUGCAGCUUCACCUUGCUUCUGGGGUUGAAAGAUUGAAUGUUGAAAGAAUGAUCUUCAUUUCUUCCUCCUUCGAAUGAGAAUUCUUCGAUGCUCACGGACGAAGCCUUUGGCUCAGAAAUCUUCAACACAAACUCCAUGAGUCUUAUCUAUACCUGAAAUCACUAUUCAAGACCAAAACAAAACUAAAAGUAAACUUAGCACACAAAUUAAAAUAGAAACCAAAAUAUUUUUGGAUUUUUGAUUUUUCUGAACAAGAAAUAAAACAGAAAUAACACUAUUUUUGGAUUUUUAAUUUUUCUGAUUUUUCUUUGAUUUUUGAAUUUUUUUUUAUUUUUUUAUUUUUUUCAAUUUUCUUUAUUAUUAUUAAUUUUUAAUUCUCCCCUAAUAUUUAAAUUAGAAGAAACUAUGAAAAAUUUAACAAAAAUAAAAAGGAUAUCUAACUUUAAGAGUGAUUUGGGAUCAAAGUUUUUAGACAGCCUUUAUCCACUUGUCGGUACCUUCUAUCUUCACGUCUUUGUCUGGUCGAUCGCCGGUAUUGUGGUCCACUUAAACACAAAAAAUUGUGACAAAUUUAGGACAUACUAUUUGUUACAAGACAAGGUGAACUUAAGUUCCUAAAAAUUAUAUCUGAUCCUAAUUCCUUAAAUACUAUAUCUUAAGGACCAUUCAUCUGACGACGACCAGGGAUAUUGUUGUCCACCUAAUUUGAGCAGCGAGAUCUACAGAUAAUCUGUAUGAGUUCAAUUUUAAGUGUACUGGAACGUGUUUCCCGCUUCCUGAUAUGCCCCAACCAUCAAGAACUUCCAUAGUACUCCUUACACCGGGUGAGCAGACAACCAUUCAGAGAGAGAAGAGAUUCAGAAUUCUAUUGCUAACUACUUCAGAGGGGUUGAGAAGAAGAAGGUUGCAUAUGCUGUGUACCAGGUCGGAUUAGAAGUCGCGCAAAGGAGACAGCAUAUGGCUAACAGAUGAGAAGUAUUUCACACAUAUAUUUCACACACAUAUAUAUAUCCUGCAGAGAAAUAGAGUUGCAUAUGUUGUGUACCAGGUCGGAUUGGAAGUCACGCAAAGGAGACAACAUAUGACUAACAGACGGAAAGAAAGAAAAUGAUAUUCUACAGACCUAAUUUAUCGGAAUUUACCAGUCGCCCCAUCCAACCGGAAUUAAGGACAGAAUCCGCACAUCGAGGAAAAGUUAAACCACGGUUCCAAGUACGGGUUCAAUUAAUGUGACGAGUAGAUUCCCAUAUAUAUCUCCCUGCUCAACCUAUCCGAGCGUCGUAUUGUCAGGCUGAAUGUAUCUAACUAGGUCAAGGUUUAUCAAGUCUAUAAAUUUCCUAAGUUCAACUCUCCCUAGUCAAGUCCAUUUUAAAAAAAUUUCGUGCCUACCGAUGCAUCAAGUCAGAGCAUAGACCCUUCAACUUCGGGUACGUUACGCAGAAUCAGGUUGCCUGUUAUCACUUGCUAAUUUCAUUUCCCAAAACAUCUCCCUCAAGCACAUUUCAUAACCAACAUUUUUUGAUUUUUUUAUUUUCUAAUGUUUUUGGGUUUUUUUAUAUUAUUUUUUUUUAAAUUAAAAUUUUCUAAUUUUUGUUUUGUUUUUAUUUCUCCCCCUAAAUUUGUGCAUAGGAGAGAAACGAAAGUAAAUGCGCAAAUUUAAACUAUCCUAAAACAAAAAUUAGUCUUUAAAGCGAAUCAGGUUAAGAAAAAACUUAGGAGUAGAAGAAAACACAAACCGUAAGUCACCGAUUGAAGUUGCAUCCAGAAAGUCUGAGAAUAGCACGCGUAAUCUCAGAACAGAUCCGAAAAUUCUUCAUGUCAUUAAGCACAAACCCCAUGUGAUCCCUUCCUUUCUUCAUUUCCCGCAAAAGGACACAUACUCUCAAACAAAGGUCUGAAUGUUGUACAGUUGAGAGAUGUCCCUUAUCAUGUGUCAGGAACAGCCACUACCAACAAACCGAAGUUUGAUGAUAUGCCUCCAUAGCUGCUUCGACACAGAGCGGGAUUAGCUGGUCUUUGGAACCCAGUCCAUUUUGAAACUGGGUCGACCUUUGUCAUCAACACACAAAACUUUCUCCCAUGACAUAUCCUGCUUAUCACAAACAGAAGAUGUAGAAACAUUAGAGUCGUUAGUUGAUUUAGGAGAUUGAGCCUUUGGAACCCAUUUGUAGUUGGGUUUAACCCAUUUCUUUUUCGAUCCGAUGGGUGCCUCGGCACUUGAUUUGGAACUUGAAGCCGUCUGCCUAGAUGACUUUGAUCUAACCGGUCUUGGUUUCAUAGGAUCAUCUCUUGAACUAGACUUCUGGGCCUGCAUUCCCUUCUUGCCCUUAGGAUUCAGAUUCUUUGCCUUGUAGGUUUGAUUCUUGGCCUUGUGUGCGUUCCAAUCACCAUUCCAGGUCACGAUCAAACGGAUGAUGUCAAAUAAAAUAAAAGAAAAGGAGAAGAAGAAGAUGUUGAAUUUCUAUAUAAAUUGAUUAGAAUUAAAGCUCCAGAUACAAAAGAUUCACACAAAAUGCUCUCUGGCCGUAAACUCACUAGGGUUCAUCCAUCUCUACUCCACACCCUAACACCUCUAUUUAUACUUGUAGAACAUGGGCCGGAAACAAAUGGGCCGUAAAUGAGUUUACGGUCGUAAGGUGUUUACGGCCGUAAACUCAGCCGUAAACUAGACCCAACAAUCUCCCCCUUGGUUUAUAGCUUUNUAAUUGCCCAGAAAAGUAAAGUAUAAACCAUAUUUUGACCCAACAAUCUCCCCCUAAAAAGUAGUUGGCUUUCUUGAUAACCUUCAUUGGGAACUUGGCUUCAACAUUUAUCUUCAAUGAAUGACUUCGUCUUGAGCAGUUGAGCUUUUCUUCAGAAUUUGUCAUUGAUCGCACAUUGGGUGAGGAGGCUUGACGUACUGAUUCUUGAAAGAUAGCGCUUUCAGCUUGAGAAUCUUCAGAGAGAACUUCAGAGAGAACAAAUCUUCUAGAUCACUUCAACAGGUACAAAGAUAGCAGCAGACUGAUUGAGGAGGCUUCAAUGCAAUCCGUCACAUAAUCUUCAAUUGCAGCUUCACCUUGCUUCUGGGGUUGAAAGAUUGAAUGUUGAAAGAAUGAUCUUCAAUUCUUGCUCCUUCGAAUGAGAAUUCUUCGAUGCUCACGGACGAAGCCUUUGGCUCAGAAAU
Molecule: long non-coding RNA, 3368 nt
Filed under: Lactuca sativa (garden lettuce)
Lineage: Eukaryota; Viridiplantae; Streptophyta; Magnoliopsida; Asterales; Asteraceae
Description: long non-coding RNA (LSAT_LNC003033)
Source: RNAcentral